This is a non-coding RNA of Microcebus murinus (gray mouse lemur), 666 nucleotides long. The record is from RefSeq and is a predicted model, not a curated record. Lineage: Eukaryota; Metazoa; Chordata; Mammalia; Primates; Cheirogaleidae.
UCCACCCCUUCCCCCUCCCUCCAUUCCUCUCCCUCUCUCCAUUCCUCCACCUAACCUACUCCUCCCAAUUUCAACCCACCGCAGCCCCCCUUCUUACCACCACUUAUAAUGGCACACAGGGCCCCUCUGAGGUGGACGGCCCGAUGCACAGGUAAUUUCUGACCUCGUGACGUUUGGCAGCGAGCGGAUCCGGAGCAAAAGCAUUCAGGUAUUUCCAGAGGACGUGUGGCGAGCGAGGUCGACCCUCGCCCGAGCCAACUCUUCUGUAAUCUUUUCCUAACAGCAGGUUUGUCCUAAGGCACGCAGGAGAGAAAGUAACGUUCAAGAAGAAAGCUGGGUCGGCAAGUUUGGCUCCCGAGCGUGUGAAGUAUGAAUCACCACGGUGCAAAGGAAAGAAGAACUAGAAUCCAUUUCAAGCUAAAGAGAAAAUUCAACCUGGACUAUCUUUCUCUUUCAAGAAAAUUAACAAAGUACCAAUGGAGCCCUUUAUCUAUUGAGUGCAGACUUCAUUAAUUAAUCCUUUUUAUCUGUGACAGUUAAAGGUAAAUCUUGAAUAUUCUGCUUCCUUGAAAUGAUUUCUAGUUUUACCCUUACUUGCUAAACUACAUUCUUUUAACCAUACGUUAUCUUUUGUCAACCAUGUAUAAAUCAAAUCAAAUUGUAUUG